RNAcentral lists this ribosomal RNA (635 nucleotides) under Lactobacillus gasseri. RNAcentral's name for it is "bacterial SSU rRNA". It matches the Rfam family "Bacterial small subunit ribosomal RNA", at positions 392 to 1018 of the family's 1533-position model. Lineage: Bacteria; Bacillati; Bacillota; Bacilli; Lactobacillales; Lactobacillaceae. The record is from RNAcentral.
CAACGCCGCGUGAGUGAAGAAGGGUCUCGGCUCGUAAAGCUCUGUUGGUAGUGAAGAAAGAUAGAGGUAGUAACUGGCCUUUAUUUGACGGUAAUUACUUAGAAAGUCACGGCUAACUACGUGCCAGCAGCCGCGGUAAUACGUAGGUGGCAAGCGUUGUCCGGAUUUAUUGGGCGUAAAGCGAGUGCAGGCGGUUCAAUAAGUCUGAUGUGAAAGCCUUCGGCUCAACCGGAGAAUUGCAUCAGAAACUGUUGAACUUGAGUGCAGAAGAGGAGAGUGGAACUCCAUGUGUAGCGGUGGAAUGCGUAGAUAUAUGGAAGAACACCAGUGGCGAAGGCGGCUCUCUGGUCUGCAACUGACGCUGAGGCUCGAAAGCAUGGGUAGCGAACAGGAUUAGAUACCCUGGUAGUCCAUGCCGUAAACGAUGAGUGCUAAGUGUUGGGAGGUUUCCGCCUCUCAGUGCUGCAGCUAACGCAUUAAGCACUCCGCCUGGGGAGUACGACCGCAAGGUUGAAACUCAAAGGAAUUGACGGGGGCCCGCACAAGCGGUGGAGCAUGUGGUUUAAUUCGAAGCUACGCGAAGAACCUUACCAGGUCUUGACAUACUAUGCAAAUCUAAGAGAUUAGACGUUCCC